GACGAACGCUGGCGGCGUGCCUAAUACAUGCAAGUUGAGCGCUGAAGGUUGGUACUUGUACCGACUGGAUGAGCAGCGAACGGGUGAGUAACGCGUGGGGAAUCUGCCUUUGAGCGGGGGGCAACAUUUGGAAACGAAUGCUAAUACCGCAUAAAAACUUUAAACACAAGUCUUAAGUUUGAAAGAUGCAAUUGCAUCACUCAAAGAUGAUCCCGCGUUGUAUUAGCUAGUUGGUGAGGUAAAGGCUCACCAAGGCGAUGAUACAUAGCCGACCUGAGAGGGUGAUCAGCCACAUUGGGACUGAGACACGGCCCAAACUCCUACGGGAGGCAGCAGUAGGGAAUCUUCGGCAAUGGACGAAAGUCUGACCGAGCAACGCCGCGUGAGUGAAGAAGGUUUUCGGAUCGUAAAACUCUGUUGGUAGAGAAGAACGUUGGUGAGAGUGGAAAGCUCAUCAAGUGACGGUAACUACCCAGAAAGGGACGGCUAACUACGUG
This 497-nucleotide ribosomal RNA is filed under the name uncultured bacterium. Its description in RNAcentral is "partial 16S ribosomal RNA". It matches the Rfam family "Bacterial small subunit ribosomal RNA", at positions 28 to 507 of the family's 1533-position model. The record is from RNAcentral.